GCCCCCUCCUCAAAUUUGGGCACCCCAAAAAUUCAACAUUGGACCCCAAAAAUCCAACCCUGGGGGGGUCAGGUGUGCCCUGAGACCCCUCCCCAAAUUCGGGCACCCCAAAAAUCCAACCCUGGGGGGGUCAGGGGUGCCCUGAGCCCCCUCCCCAAUUCCCUGCCCCCCCCAGGUUUGUGGGGCGCCCCCCGCGCCCCCCCCGGGCCCCAUCGGCACCGAGCGCUCCCAGCGGGGCCGGAACCCCCCCGAGGCCUGGGGGGGGCCCCCCCAAACCUGAGGGGACCCCCCGAGAGGAGGAGGAGGAGGAGGAGGAGCAGCGGCACCCCCAGAGCGGGGAGGGGCUCGGAGCCCCCCGGCCCUGGGAGCUGCUGCCGGGGGGGGGGUCCCGAGCCCCCCCCCCAAAAUCGACCCCCGGAGCCCAAAGGGCCCCCCCGGGACCCCCCCGAGAGCGGCCGGGGGGGGGGGCGGAGCCGCCGGGCAGGUGCCCCCCCCCGCCAUGGAGCCCCCCCAGGGCAGCGGCGGCUUCCGGCCCGAGACCCCCACGGUGCCGCCCUACAGGCCGGUGCUGGUGGCGGGGGCGGGGCUGCCCCUCCCCCCCCUGAAGAGCCCCUUCCUGGAGCUGCCGGGCCUGGGGGGAGGGGCCGAGCUGGCCAAGCUGGGGGGGCGGGGGGGGGGGUCCUGUACCCGCCCCUCCCCCCCUUCCUCUACGGCCCCUUCGGCCCCGACCCCCCCCCCGUGCUGCAGGUGAGGCAGGAGCUGCCCCCUCCCCCCUCGGAGUUCUACGGGCAGGGCCAGGGCGGCUUCCCCCAGGUGAGGGGGGGAGGGGCGGGUGGGGGUGGGGGAGGGGCACACACACCUAUGGGGGUGGGGGAGGGGCGCACACACACCUAUGGGGGUGGGGGAGGGGCGCACACACCUAUGGGGGUGGGGGAGGGGCGCACACACCUAUGGGGGUGGGGGAGGGGCAGGUGGGGGGUGGGGGAGGGGCACACACGCCUGGGGGGUGGGGGAGGGGCAGAUGGGAUUGGGGGGGAGGGGCACACACGCCUGGGGGGUGGGGGAGGGGCACACACACCUAUGGGGGUGGGGGAGGGGCACACCUAUGGGGGUGGGGGAAGGGCAGAUGGGAUUGGGGGGGAGGGGCGCACACACCUAUGGGGGUGGGGGAGGGGCAGGUGGGGGGUGGGGGAGGGGCACACACACCUAUGGGGUGGGGGAGGGGCAGAUGGGAUUGGGGGGGAGGGGCACACACACCUAUGGGGGGGUGGGGGAGGGGCACUCACACCUAUGGAGGUGGGGGAGGGGCAGAUGGGAUGGGGGGAGGGGCACACACACCUAUGGUGGGGGAGGGGCACACACACCUAUGGGGUGGGGGAGGGGCAGAUGG
Molecule: long non-coding RNA, 1390 nt
Filed under: Taeniopygia guttata (zebra finch)
Lineage: Eukaryota; Metazoa; Chordata; Aves; Passeriformes; Estrildidae
Description: lncRNA (ENSTGUG00000028934.1)
Source: RNAcentral